GACGAACGCUGGCGGCGUGCUUAACACAUGCAAGUCGAACGGUAAGGCCCUUCGGGGUACACGAGUGGCGAACGGGUGAGUAACACGUGGGUGAUCUGCCCUGCACUUCGGGAUAAGCCUGGGAAACUGGGUCUAAUACCGGAUAGGACCACUGCCUGCAUGGGUGGUGGUGGAAAGCUUUUGCGGGGUGGGAUGGGCCCGCGGCCUAUCAGCUUGUUGGUGGGGUGAUGGCCUACCAAGGGGACGACGGGUAGCCGGCCUGAGAGGGUGACCGGCCAAACUGGGACUGAGAGACGGCCCAGACUCCUACGGGAGGCAGCAGUGGGGAAUAUUGCACAAUGGGCGCAAGCCUGAUGCAGCGACGCCGCGUGAGGGAUGACGGCCUUCGGGUUGUAAACCUCUUUCAGCAUCGACGAAGCGAAAGUGACGGUAGGUGCAGAAGAAGGACCGGCCAACUACGUGCCAGCCGCCGCAGUAA
RNAcentral lists this ribosomal RNA (478 nucleotides) under uncultured bacterium. RNAcentral describes it as "partial 16S ribosomal RNA". It matches the Rfam family "Bacterial small subunit ribosomal RNA", at positions 28 to 523 of the family's 1533-position model. The record is from RNAcentral.